UGGGGAAUUUUGGACAAUGGGGGAAACCCUGAUCCAGCCAUCCCGGGUGUGCGAUGAAGGCCUUCGGGUUGUAAAGCACUUUUGGCAGGAAAGAAACGUCAUGGGUUAAUACCCCGUGAAACUGACGGUACCUGCAGAAUAAGCACCGGCUAACUACGUGCCAGCAGCCGCGGUAAUACGUAGGGUGCAAGCGUUAAUCGGAAUUACUGGGCGUAAAGCGUGCGCAGGCGGUUCGGAAAGAAAGAUGUGAAAUCCCAGAGCUCAACUUUGGAACUGCAUUUUUAACUACCGGGCUAGAGUGUGUCAGAGGGAGGUGGAAUUCCGCGUGUAGCAGUGAAAUGCGUAGAUAUGCGGAGGAACACCGAUGGCGAAGGCAGCCUCCUGGGAUAACACUGACGCUCAUGCACGAAAGCGUGGGGAGCAAACAGG
Molecule: ribosomal RNA, 429 nt
Filed under: Acidobacteriota bacterium
Lineage: Bacteria; Pseudomonadati; Acidobacteriota
Description: Acidobacteria bacterium partial 16S ribosomal RNA
Rfam family: Bacterial small subunit ribosomal RNA
Source: RNAcentral